AGGCGGCGGCGAAAGCUACAUUCCGAGAGUGCACCAUGCCGAGGCUGUUUCUGAAGUGCGGCACGAGCACGGGCGGCGCCCCCGAGGCUGCGGACGCCGUGGGUGCACAACCUCCCGGCGUUCGACGUGGCAUCCAGCACGUCGAGGGCGAGGCCGCUGGAACCCGCGCACGCCCACGCGCCGCGCCACGCCCGGUCCGUGUUCGAGCUGCCGUUCGAUGCCGCGGCGCUGGAGGAGGAGGAGGAGGCGAAGGCGAAGCUGGGACCCGGCGGCCGUGGCACGACAUGCGCUGCCGGUUGGACGGGCCGGCGUCGUACGACGUCGUCGACAACUUCGAGCAGCGGUGGAGGAAGACCAAGAGGUUGCGCCUGCGGGGGGUGCUACCAUUCGGCGAGAAGGCGCACUGGAUGGACUGUAUAGCCUGAAACUGUUUUGAGAUCUAAGAGCAGGUAGCAGGACGAGAGCAGCAGCUGAGUGCUGAACUGGUGGCUCUCGAGUUGAAGUCUGAACACGCUGCGUCUUUUCCGCAAGCCAUCUGUGUAAAUCUUCAAGCAGUUUCUUCUUUCACAUUAGUUUGCCCAUCAUGAAGCAAGAACCAAGAGUUGAUCGGUGCUGUUAGAAUCAUGUAAUGCUCGGAGCUGUGUCACAAAUUAUUUUGAACGAAGUUGGGCAGUGCUCUGUUAAUUUCAA
Molecule: long non-coding RNA, 690 nt
Organism: Panicum virgatum (switchgrass)
Lineage: Eukaryota; Viridiplantae; Streptophyta; Magnoliopsida; Poales; Poaceae
Exons: 2
Source: RefSeq, a predicted model, not a curated record